RNAcentral lists this ribosomal RNA (434 nucleotides) under uncultured bacterium. RNAcentral's name for it is "partial 16S ribosomal RNA". It matches the Rfam family "Bacterial small subunit ribosomal RNA", at positions 29 to 507 of the family's 1533-position model. The record is from RNAcentral.
AGCGAACGCUGGCGGCAGGCCUAACACAUGCAAGUCGAACGAACCUUUCGGGGUUAGUGGCGGACGGGUGAGUAACACGUGGGAACGUGCCUUUAGGUUCGGUAUAACUCAGUGAAACUUGUGCUAAUACCGAAUGUGCCCUUCGGGGGAAAGAUUAAUCGCCUUUAGAGCGGCCCGCGUCUGAUUAGCUAGUUGGUUGAGGUAAUGGCUCACCAAGGCGACGAUCAGUAGCUGGUCUGAGAGGAUGAUCAGCCACAUUGGGACUGAGACACGGCCCAAACUCCUACGGGAGGGAGCAGUGGGGAAUCUUGCGCAAUGGGCGAAAGCCUGACGAAGCCAUGCCGCGUGAAUGAUGAAGGUCUUAGGAUUGUAAAAUUCUUUCACCGGGGACGAUAAUGACGGUACCCGGAGAAGAAGCCCCGGCUAACUUCGUG